RNAcentral lists this unclassified non-coding RNA (278 nucleotides) under Athalia rosae (coleseed sawfly). Its description in RNAcentral is "misc RNA ENSAEAG00005003801.1". Lineage: Eukaryota; Metazoa; Arthropoda; Insecta; Hymenoptera; Athaliidae. The record is from RNAcentral.
AGGAAGUACAGGGGAGACUAGAGUGAGAAUCGACCGCGCCCUCUUAUCUGACUAGAAUCACGUAAUUGUUGACUGCAAGGUUGUCAUUGCGCUCGUAUUACUUGAUGACAACAAAUUCAGAAUUACGUCUCUCGAUGCUUUUCAUAAUAUACGAGGAACGAACGAGGGGAAAAAGAUACGAAAGAAAACCAUCGAGGCCUGAUAAUUUAUCUCUGAAGUUGCUGUGAAGUACACAGACGACUUAUUUGUAUUACUAUAUCAAGAACGAAGAGAUAAAU